UACGGGGGGGGCAAGCGUUGUUCGGAAUUACUGGGCGUAAAGGGCUCGUAGGCGGCCAACUAAGUCAGACGUGAAAUCCCUCGGCUUAACCGGGGAACUGCGUCUGAUACUGGAUGGCUAGAGGUUGGGAGAGGGAUGCGGAAUUCCAGGUGUAGCGGUGAAAUGCGUAGAUAUCUGGAGGAACACCGGUGGCGAAGGCGGCAUCCUGGACCGACACUGACGCUGAGGAGCGAAAGCCAGGGGAGCAAACAGG
This 253-nucleotide ribosomal RNA is filed under the name uncultured bacterium. RNAcentral's name for it is "partial 16S ribosomal RNA". It matches the Rfam family "Bacterial small subunit ribosomal RNA", at positions 524 to 776 of the family's 1533-position model. The record is from RNAcentral.